GAAGAUGACUAUGAAGUCGUCCAUGGGGGCCGGGCAAGAAAUGAGGAAGGGCAGCAAGACAACUACCGCGGCUCGGGCGGGCGAGAGGACGAAGAAUCUCCAGGACAUGAUCACGACGGUGAUGUUGUACACAGUCAUCAUGUAGAAGAUGUCGGACAUGAUGAUGAGGAAGAUGUCGGAGCAGACGAAUGGCAUGAUCAUGAAGAUCUAGAUGCCGGAGGAGCAGACGAUGAUGGACCAUCGAUGGGCUGGGUGCAGGACCCUCAUAUUCAAGAGCUUCUUCUCAAGCAGACGGAUAAUGCAAGAGCUGCCGCC
This 315-nucleotide ribosomal RNA is filed under the name Triticum aestivum (bread wheat). Its description in RNAcentral is "partial small subunit ribosomal RNA". Lineage: Eukaryota; Viridiplantae; Streptophyta; Magnoliopsida; Poales; Poaceae. The record is from RNAcentral.